GAUGAACGCUGGCGGCGUGCCUAAUACAUGCAAGUCGAGCGAACGGACGAGAAGCUUGCUUUUCUGAUGUUAGCGGCGGACGGGUGAGUAACACGUGGAUAACCUACCUAUAAGACUGGGAUAACUUCGGGAAGCCGGAGCUAAUACCGGAUAAUAUUUUGAACCGCAUGGUUCAAAAGUGAAAGACGGUCUUGCUGUCACUUAUAGAUGGAUCCGCGCUGCAUUAGCUAGUUGGUAAGGUAACGGCUUACCAAGGCAACGAUGCAUAGCCGACCUGAGAGGGUGAUCGGCCACACUGGAACUGAGACACGGUCCAGACUCCUACGGGAGGCAGCAGUAGGGAAUCUUCCGCAAUGGGCGAAAGCCUGACGAAGCAACGCCGCGUGAGUGAUGAAGGUCUUCGGAUCGUAAAACUCUGUUAUUAGGGAAGAACAUAUGUGUAAGUAACUGUGCACAUCUUGACGGUACCUAAUCAGAAAGCCACGGCUAACUACGUG
This 497-nucleotide ribosomal RNA is filed under the name uncultured bacterium. RNAcentral describes it as "partial 16S ribosomal RNA". It matches the Rfam family "Bacterial small subunit ribosomal RNA", at positions 28 to 507 of the family's 1533-position model. The record is from RNAcentral.